Gadus chalcogrammus (walleye pollock) is the source of this 887-nucleotide long non-coding RNA. RefSeq lists it as uncharacterized. The transcript is spliced from 3 exons. The record is from RefSeq and is a predicted model, not a curated record. Lineage: Eukaryota; Metazoa; Chordata; Actinopteri; Gadiformes; Gadidae.
GCUAGGGUGGGUAAUUUCUUUACUGUAAUAUUUGGCAAAACUGUCCUAAUAGCCAGUCAGCUAUAUGUAGGUGAAGUGCUCUGAGAAUAUCUGCUCAUAACUUUGCUCUCCCCUGCCUCUGUGGGCCGCACCCAAAAAUUGCCACCGCUCAUGUACACUUUGACCAAUCAGAGCGAGGCUCCGAUUCUCCGUUCUUAUUGGCUGUGGGACUGUCCGUCACCUUGGCAACGACGUUGGUGCGUCCCUGCGUGAGCGUUCACGAGCCUAGCGGUCUGACAGUUUUGUACUACUACGGCGGACAACAAAUGAAUAGCCAUGUCUUCAUCAACGGCCCAUAAAUUUCCCAUUCCCCGGAUACCAUCAACUAACACCACGAAGACAGCGAAAAAAAGAGGAAAGACACUUGUUGAAAGGACAGCUACUAAAAGGGAGGCGGAGAGGGCUCGAAAUAAAACCAGAGUAAACAUCGGCGUGGCUUAUGAGCCAUGGAGAGAGUUACGUGACCUGAGAAACUUAAAAUCGGACGCUGAGAUGGCUACAUUUCUUAUAGACAGACCUGCAGAGUGCUAUCCUAGAAGCCCGGCUGACAUCAGACAAGGGUUUGCCAAAGACCAGAAAAAAAAGGCCUAAUGACCCACGGCAAUAUGGGGUUCUUGCAAGCAUCCCACCUCCCACCACCAAGGACCUGUUGCAAACCCAAUUCCACAGAGGAGUAGGGCAAGGAAUGCAGUAAGAGACCAUAGAAGAGAUUGGAGGUCCCAUACCAACUAAACUGGAGCUGACUGUAGGCUGCUGGGGGCUGUUUGGAAUAGUAUUACGCUGCUCACUUUUUGAUAUUUGUAAAUAUUCGAUUUAUUAGAUCUAAAUGUCCUUCACAGUUUUGUAUU